UACGGAGGGUGCAAGCGUUAAUCGGAGUUACUGGGCGUAAAGCGUGCGCAGGCGGUUCCAUAAGACAGAUGUGAAAUCCCCGGGCUCAACCUGGGAACUGCAUUUGUGACUGUGGGGCUAGAGGACGGUAGAGGGGGAUGGAAUUCCGCGUGUAGCAGUGAAAUGCGUAGAUAUGCGGAGGAACACCAAUGGCGAAGGCAAUCCCCUGGACCUGUACUGACGCUCAUGCACGAAAGCGUGGGGAGCAAACAGG
Molecule: ribosomal RNA, 253 nt
Filed under: uncultured bacterium
Lineage: Bacteria
Description: partial 16S ribosomal RNA
Rfam family: Bacterial small subunit ribosomal RNA
Source: RNAcentral